RNAcentral lists this ribosomal RNA (2039 nucleotides) under Triticum aestivum (bread wheat). Its description in RNAcentral is "partial small subunit ribosomal RNA". Lineage: Eukaryota; Viridiplantae; Streptophyta; Magnoliopsida; Poales; Poaceae. The record is from RNAcentral.
CGGCUUCCUGCGAUCCUGUCUGCGUCACCCGCAAGAUUCCAACCAACAGAUUAGAUAUCUAGACAUAGUGGUAUAGAUGGAGAAAAAAGUCUAAACAGAUCUCAUCGGCCCGCCGGCCGGUGGAGAAGAUAUCAACAGUUUGAUGGUUGUAUCUCCCUUUUAUUAUCUUCCAAUUCUAAUAAUCUGGCGAUCCUGUUUUUCAAACCAACGCAAGAAACCAAUCAGGGCGUAUAUAUAGGGAUAGGGAAGGGUCCAACUCCAUCCCCGUCUCCAUCUCCGUCCCUGGGUCGGCUUGGGCUUAGCUAGCCAGGGAACGAGGAGGAGCGGGUUGUUGUCAUGGCGGCGUCGGCGGCGGCGGUGAUGGAGGAGCUGCGGGGCAGCUUCAGGGAGGGGCGGACGCGGCCGGCCGAGUGGCGGACGGCGCAGCUCAGGGCGCUCGUCAGGAUGAUCGAGGAGAAGGAGGACGACAUCAGCGACGCGCUCCACGCCGACCUCGCCAAGCCGCGCAUGGAGGCCUACCUCCACGAGAUAUCGCUGGCGAAAGGGGCGUGUAUGUUUGCCCUCAAGGGGCUCAAGAAUUGGAUGAAGCCCGACAAGGUACCUUCUGCCAUAACUACAUUCCCAUCCACUGCUCAAAUCGUGCCGGAGCCCCUGGGUGUCGUUCUCGUCAUAUCAGCCUGGAACUAUCCUUUCUUGCUAUCCAUCGAGCCUGUCAUUGGAGCAAUUGCUGCUGGGAAUGCUGUUGUGCUGAAGCCAUCAGAACUUGCGCCAGCAACAUCGUCAUUGUUCGCGAAGCUGCUACCAGAGUACGUCGAUAGCUCGUGUAUAAAAGUUGUGGAGGGAGGUGUCACUGAAACAGGUGCACUCUUACAACAAAAAUGGGAUAAGAUCUUCUACACAGGAAAUGGUAAUGUAGCCCGCGUAGUGUUGGCAGCAGCUGCGAAGCAUCUAACCCCUGUUGCUCUGGAGCUCGGUGGAAAAUGCCCUGUUAUUGUUGACUCUAACGUCGAUCUGCAUGUUGCUGCUAAGAGGAUUGCUGUUGGUAAAUGGGGCUGUAACAAUGGCCAGGCAUGCAUUGCUCCCGAUUACAUCAUAACGACAAAAGCUUUCGUUACAGAACUGGUCGACUCUUUGAAAAGAGUCUUGGAAAGGUUCUAUGGGGAGGAUCCGUUGCAAUCGGCGGACCUGUCUCGUAUUGUGAGUAUUAGCCAUUUCGAACGAUUAGCGAAGUUGAUAGAGGACAAGGAAGUUGCCACCAAGAUUCAGCUCGGUGGUCAGACAGAUCAGGAGCAACUAAAAAUAGCUCCUACGGUGUUGGUAGAUGUUCCUCUUGAUACAGAACUUAUGACAGGGGAAAUAUUUGGCCCCAUGCUUCCAAUUAUAACGGUCGACAAGAUUGAAGAAAGCAUCACACACAUCAACGCCGGGGCGAAGCCACUGGCGGCCUACCUCUUCACCAAGGACAAGAAACUGCAACAAGAUUUCGUCUCAAACGUCUCGGCAGGAGGCAUGCUCGUCAACGACGUCGCCCUACACCUGACGAACCCACAUUUGCCGUUCGGUGGCGUGGGCGACAGCGGCACGGGGUCGUACCAUGGCAAGUUCAGCUUCGACUGCUUCACCCACAGAAAGGCAGUGCUGAUCCGCGGGUUCGGUGGCGAGGCGAACGCAAGGUACCCACCCUACACGGCAGAGAAACAGAGGAUCUUGAGGGGCCUCAUCAAGGGCAGCUUCUUUGCGCUGAUCCUUGCGCUCCUGGGGUUCCCAAGGGAGAAGCGUUAGCUGAGUUGAGUUCCCUCCCUUCUCCAGUACAGCAUAGCAGGAUUGUUCAUGUUCAUGAGGGUGAUGUGCAGGACUGGUGAUGUGGUGCACUUCUGCACUGUGAAGCGCCAGUGCGCGAGUGUGUUCAACAGGUGUAAAAUAUGGGACUAUCAUCGGAUUUCUGGAUGUAAUUUAAUUUUACAUAAAUAAACCUGGUUUGCUACUUACUCCAGCGUGAAGGAUGAAGAGGAUUACGCCCUGCUUAAAAAAUUGCAAGA